This 253-nucleotide ribosomal RNA is filed under the name uncultured bacterium. RNAcentral describes it as "partial 16S ribosomal RNA". It matches the Rfam family "Bacterial small subunit ribosomal RNA", at positions 524 to 776 of the family's 1533-position model. The record is from RNAcentral.
UACGGAGGAUCCGAGCGUUAUCCGGAUUUAUUGGGUUUAAAGGGAGCGUAGGUGGAUUGUUAAGUCAGUUGUGAAAGUUUGCGGCUCAACCGUAAAAUUGCAGUUGAAACUGGCAGUCUUGAGUACAGUAGAGGUGGGCGGAAUUCGUGGUGUAGCGGUGAAAUGCUUAGAUAUCACGAAGAACUCCGAUUGCGAAGGCAGCUCACUGGACUACAACUGACACUGAGGCUCGAAAGUGUGGGUAUCAAACAGG